AUACGGAGGGUCCAAGCGUUAUCCGGAAUCAUUGGGUUUAAAGGGUCCGCAGGCGGUCAAUUAAGUCAGAGGUGAAAGCCCAUCGCUCAACGAUGGAACUGCCUUUGAUACUGGUUGACUUGAGUUAUACGGAAGUAGAUAGAAUAAGUAGUGUAGCGGUGAAAUGCAUAGAUAUUGCUUAGAAUACCGAUUGCGAAGGCAGUCUACUACGUAUAUACUGACGCUGAGGGACGAAAGCGUGGGGAGCGAACAGGAUUAGAUACCCUAGUAGUCC
Molecule: ribosomal RNA, 274 nt
Filed under: uncultured bacterium
Lineage: Bacteria
Description: partial 16S ribosomal RNA
Rfam family: Bacterial small subunit ribosomal RNA
Source: RNAcentral